AAGAAAGCAAAACCCCCCCCAAAAACAACACAGUUAAAACAAAGGAAUACAGAGAUUAUAAAUGUUAGUUCAUGUAAUGGGAUAGAGAUCCAUAAAUUCAGUCAGUGGAUGAUUUUUUGUUUGGCAGUUUCAUGUUCAGGUUGGCUUUUGAAGCCUUGGUGUUUAGUAUGAGGUGGCAGUAAGAUUUGAGGAGAACACAGGGUGCUAAUUCAGAAAUGUCUUUGUAAAAUUUGGAUAUCAAUCUCCCGAACCUUUCUCAGAAUAUCAAUAAGUUCCAAUUGAAGAGCGGAUUCUUUUGCAAUUCAGGCAUGUGCCGGCGAUAACGGGCGAGUUGGCAUGAAGAGAGGCAGAGAUGGAUUAAUUAUGCAGAGAACAUGGAAAUUCUGCUUAUCAUCGGCUAGCAAAGGAGCCCAGCUCACAUAAUCAGCAAACGAAGGGAGAGAAAAAAAUAACAAUGCAAUGGCACCUUCCAGCCCAUCAUCAGGAUUUUUUCUACCCCCUUGUAAUUAAAAAAUAACAUACACUUAUAGCCCUAUCUCCUGUGCAGGCAAGGAGUGGAUGUCCACAAAAUAAUUGCACUGGGAUAUUAGAGCUGGGAACAAGGGCUGUCCAUUCCUACUAUCCCUUACUCCCUCCCCUCCCUCUCUCUCUCUCCUGGCCUCUACCAGGCACUUCUUUUCUGCCUGCAAUCCGAAUCAGAUGGAUGUCUCAGGUGACAUCCUAUCUCAGUGUCCAUAAGUCCCAAACCUCUCCCUUAUCAUGAUUCAAGCAAACAUGUAUAUGAUAAAUAUUUGAAGUGCCGAGGCUGUGGGGUUUUAUCCUGAUCACCUGUGAGCUAUCUGUAGAAAUCACUUUGAUGAAACCUUUCCAAAUGGUCUUUUCAAGUUACAAAACAGGCUGAUUAGAAAAGCUUUUUUGUUGUUAUAACUGUUUGCACUUUUGCCCACAAAAGAUCACAUCUCCUAUAAAGUUUUUUGUUUUUUUUUUCAUUUUUUGUCUUUAU
This is a long non-coding RNA of Alligator sinensis (Chinese alligator), 1003 nucleotides long. RefSeq lists it as uncharacterized. The record is from RefSeq and is a predicted model, not a curated record. The transcript is spliced from 3 exons. Lineage: Eukaryota; Metazoa; Chordata; Crocodylia; Alligatoridae.